UCCCUUUGUUACUUUCUGUGCCUUAUCUUGUUUUAAUUGCAACUGCCACGAAGCAUGGAAGGGAAAUAUAUUCCCCACUUAAAAGAUCCACUUUAAUUAUUCGAUGGCUAGGGUGGAAGCAUUCGCGAACUGGACACACCCUGAUCCAUUAAACCAGCUAGGCGAGAAUAAAGCGGGCGACGCCGAAACACUCCUGCUCCUUUCUCUGGCGGGCUCCAGAGGCCUCCUGACCGCCUGCCCGGGAACCCGGGGCACGUGCGUUCUGCCACCAGAACGCGGAGACUUCAGUGCGGGAGCCCCGAGUGACGCACCAUCUGACGUCAGCAGCAGGCGGGGAUUUCCCCCCUGGCUCCUUUGCCUCCCCGACUCCUCUAGAGAAAGGCAAAGACCCUGCCGCAAAGUGGGCGCGACCAUCGAGGGCCCAAGGAGCCAGAGGGAUGAGGGUAGAAGCAAAGUGAUGCUGUUGCCGCUGCCGCCGCCGCCGCCGCCGCCGCCGCUGCUGCUUCCGUAGCUGCUGCUUGCUGAGCCCCACUUCCAAAUGAAGAGCGAUGCCACAGCGUCUGGCCACCACCCUAGAGAUCCGCUUCGGAGACAAAGCCCGUGCGUGAGCGUCUCCCCUCUCUCCUAGUUCUCUCCAGCGGCCCCAGGUACCCAGCACCGGAUGAGACUCCUGUUUGGAGCCCUGAUUCAGCGCUGGUCAUAGACGGGUUCAAGCAUCACCUGCUAACCUGUGCAUCUGCAUUGAUAACUUCUGUACUUCAACUUCUUGUGAUCCACUUGCUCCAGGUCACUGGACCUACCCCAACAACAGUUUCUGAGGAAACAGAAUGAAAGAAGGCAUGUCGAAUAACAGCACAACCAGUAUCUCUCAAGCGCGAAAAGCUGUGGAGCAACUCAAAAUGGAAGCCUGUAUGGACAGGAUAAAGGUCUCCAAGGCUGCAGCAGACCUCCUGGCGUACUGUGAUGCCCACAUCCGAGAAGACCCCCUUAUUAUACCAGUGCCUGCAUCAGAAAACCCCUUCAGAGAGAAAAAGUUCUUUUGUACCAUUCUCUGAGUCCAUUUGUAAUGCAACUGUCCCCUUUUCUGUCUGUGAAAGCCUCCCAUAGAAAUUAUGCAUGCCUUUAGCAUUAGAGGAUAAUAGAGAAUAUGACUCUUCCUGCUGCCUAACUAAAAAUGGCCAGGGUGCUGUGCUUUUUAAAUUUACUUAUUAAAAAAGCAGCGUACCUUUUUACAGCAAAUGAUACAUGUGCCAAGUAGAAUUAAACAUGGGGUUAGGGGUUGGGGUUUUUUUAAUCAUUAUAAAUCCCAAAAUUUAAAUGCAUUAAGUUAAUUCAUUUCAGUGAAUAUAUUUAUUGGAAAUGAGCACUGAUUUUUCAUGGAGGAAGGAAAAUUGCAGCCAGUAAUCAUGAAUAUAUCCAAUUAAAGACCUUUUGACCAAUUAUACCAUUAUGAUGUCCUUUCCUGGAGAGAUACUAAGUCCUAGCUAAUUUAGAGCAUCUCUAUUUCCUACUUUCCCAUCCUCCUCUUUAAGAGUGAAGAGAAAUGAGGAUUGGCUUGUUCUCCCUCAUUUGCACCCUAGGGAGGCUCCAUGCCUUCCUGCACUUAUACACCCUAUGUGGAACGACCUUUGUCUUUCCUGUAGUACUGCCUGCUGUUAGUUGUUCUGUAAAUGCCCCUUCUGCAACUGUGGAAUGUUGAGUGAACACUAUAGUAAAUUUGCCUAUAAAUCCAAGCUGUGAUUCUGCUGUUUUUAUUUUGAAUCGACCUAAUUGCCCAGAGUUCUUUUUCC
Molecule: long non-coding RNA, 1790 nt
Organism: Sarcophilus harrisii (Tasmanian devil)
Lineage: Eukaryota; Metazoa; Chordata; Mammalia; Dasyuromorphia; Dasyuridae
Source: Ensembl